GUCACCGUUCGGUACAGCCAGGCGGUAAACAUUACACAGUACGAUUGGCCAUGUCCUAAGGGUCCUUUGGUUUGGUUUUCGACUUUGAGUUUUUCGACGGCAUUCAGUUGUGAGAAGUGACAAACGAACGCGACAUGCGUUAAAGAGAUCGUGCAUACUCAUUUCAAUUCGUUCGGUUUAAUCUUUUAAGUUAUUUCGUUAAUUCAUUUUCCAAAGGAUGUUGAGUCGGAAUAUGGGAUUUUUGGACUCUGGAACGGUUUAACAAAAACCUCACAGAUUUAUUUGCUUAUAGCAAAGAAUGGUGGGUUAUUAUCAAAUGAAACAAAUUACAAAUUCCACAACGAUGUCGGUCAAGAACGAAAUAUCGACUGUGGAACCAGUAGAUCCUGUGAAAAGUCUCGUAUGUAGUCCGGAUUUAAGUGUGUUCACUUCACCGGCAUGUGGUUCUGAAACUCCGUUAACAAAUAUCGAAGAGAAGACAUACCAGUGUCUGCUGUGUCAGAAAGCCUUUGAUCAAAAGAAUUUAUAUCAGAGUCAUUUGCGCUCACACGGUAAAGAAGGUGAAGAUCCAUACCGAUGCAAUAUUUGCGGGAAAACUUUUGCGGUACCUGCGCGACUGACUAGACAUUAUCGUACGCAUACUGGUGAAAAACCGUAUCAAUGCGAAUAUUGUAGUAAAUCGUUUUCCGUAAAAGAGAAUUUAAGCGUUCAUCGUCGUAUACAUACAAAAGAACGGCCUUAUAAGUGUGACGUGUGCGAACGCGCGUUUGAACAUAGUGGUAAACUACAUCGACAUAUGCGAAUUCAUACCGGCGAACGGCCGCAUAAGUGUACUGUCUGUUCAAAAACGUUCAUUCAAAGCGGACAAUUAGUAAUUCAUAUGCGCACGCAUACCGGAGAAAAACCAUACGUUUGCAAAGCAUGUGGCAAGGGAUUCACUUGCUCAAAGCAACUGAAGGUACAUACGCGUACGCAUACCGGGGAGAAACCAUAUACUUGCGACAUUUGCGGGAAGUCCUUUGGUUAUAAUCACGUAUUAAAGUUACAUCAGGUUGCCCAUUAUGGUGAAAAAGUUUAUAAAUGUACAUUAUGUCACGAAACUUUUGGUUCAAAGAAAACAAUGGAGUUACAUAUUAAAACUCAUUCAGACUCAUCAGUUGUUGGUUCUCCUCGAGAUUCGCCAAUUGAACCAGAAAUUGAAAUCUCACAGAAUAGUGUAAGCACUGGCAGUGACAAGGAAAACCACAAGACUGAAGAGCCAAACGAUGAAGUUGCUAUUUACGAUAACACUCCACGUGAUUUUCCUUAUUAUAUGUAUUCCAGAGAGCAGUAUUCACAAUCACAUCUCAUAUCUAAUGAAAAUAGAGACUUUCAAACAACACCUACUGUCUCUGUUGAACAGCCUCAUUUAUUUUUGUAUCCAGAAGUUUCUUCAACAUACACUGGUUUUGGAAUUCAAAGUACUGAUUUUGUUGGUGACUGUUCAUCUCUUCUCAAUUUGCCAGGAAAUGAUGCUCGUAGAAGAGUCGAGGCUGCAUUAGAAGCAGUUGAAGAAGAAAGACAAAGAGAAUAUGGAAUCAGGGUUGAAAGAGAUCCAAUUCUAACUCCUCCAAGUAGCAAUCCUGUGAGUCCUGUACCUUCGCCAGAUCCUCUUGAUUUGGCGAUUCCUGUACGAGAAACAUUAAUUCUCCCUCCAAGGAAACGGUGUAAAAUGAUAUUAGAAUCCAUGGAAAUUGAAAGGAAUGGUCUCAUUGCCUCUCAAAGACAGAACUCUGUUAUUCAAUUUGCAAAAGCAUCAUAGUAGAAGAUAUGGAAGAAAUUAAUUAUCAUGAACCAGUGAUAAUAUCAUAAAUGGUCUUACUGAAAUAGUACUAUACUGUAUAAGCGAUUAUACAAAUUCUCUACUGUGAGAAUAAAAUUGAUAGAGAAGAAAGUACCAAACACAUUAAGAACUCCAUUAUUGCCAGAGUAUUGAGUGGAGCUAUGCUCACUGCCAGUACAAGUAUGCAUGUAUAUAAACGUACGUGCGAGUUUAAUAUUAAAUAUUAAAUUGUAUUAGAUUAUAACAAUAUUUAUAAUUUAAAGCCAUCUGUAUUUACAUUUGGCAUUACUCCAGUAUGAAAUACAAAAUGUUUUAUAAAUUGUGAAAUAAUUUAAUGGAAGAUUCCGCAAAGUGCAUAUAACUGAAAUAUAAAUUAUAUUUCAGUUUUAAUCUUACUUUCAUAUUUAUAAUUAAACUUUUUAAUAUACACACACCUAAAGUUAAAAAAAGAAUAAGUCCUUAAUAUAAUAUCCGAAAAGUCCGAAAUUUUAAGAAAUUGCGGUACUUAAGAUACUAUUUUUAAGGUUUUUAGUUCAAAAAUAUUUUAUAUUAAAAUAUGUAUCUAUUAAACUUGUAUAUCUUAUUAAAAAGUAUUUAAGAGAUAAUACUAAAUGUACUUUGCGAUUGAAUCUACCACUAAUUAUCGAUCUGUGGUUUAGAGAAAAGCUUUGCGUAUACACUGAGCCAUGUUUAUAAUUAAUAAGUAAUGUAAUAUUUAUAUAGAAGCUCAUGUAUAUUAUUCAUUUUUUCCUUAUUUUCAAUGGAAAUAAUUUGACACGUGGCCUACUCUUUAUUUCCCUAAAGAUUUAAGUAAAUCUCGAUCUUUUUGUUAUAUGUGAAUUAUAUUCUCGUUAAUCAUGUGUGAAUCCUCACAUGGCAUAAAAUUUAUGUGCAAUUGUAUAUUUAAGUUCUUUGGGAAGCUUAGCUUUCAUUCUUUAUUAUUGUUUUUAUUUACUCUCGGCAAAGUUUUAAAUGAGGAAAUACUCGAGUGUAUUGUUAUAAAUUUUAAGAAUUGUUAUGUUGUAUAUGUUUUUCGAAGCGCUUAAAAUUAGGUUUAAAAUGUAAAUUUUUUUUUUUUUUUCUGCCUAUAAGUCGUUGAAUAUGGCCACGUGAUAAUACAUAAAAAAAAAAAAAAAAAGAAUGGAUGCAAAUUGUUAAGUAUUAUGAUAAUAAUAAUAAUGAGAAAUAGAUUGAAAUGUGCAGAAAUAAUUCUAGUGUAAUAUUACAAUAAUCUGUUAUUACUUAUUAUUUUUUAAGAUAUACAAAUACAUGCCAAAUGGGAUGUGUUUUAUCCCAUUAUCUCAAGCGUGUGGAACUGAUUACAUGAUAAAGAAAA
Molecule: RNA transcript, 3158 nt
Organism: Apis mellifera (honey bee)
Lineage: Eukaryota; Metazoa; Arthropoda; Insecta; Hymenoptera; Apidae
Gene: Kr-h1
Gene name: kruppel homolog 1
Exons: 4
Source: RefSeq, marked validated